GCCCGGGUAGCUCAGUCGGUAGAGCAGGGGAUUGAAAAUCCCCGUGUCCUUGGUUCGAUUCCGAGUCCGGGCACCA
Molecule: transfer RNA, 76 nt
Filed under: Escherichia coli
Lineage: Bacteria; Pseudomonadati; Pseudomonadota; Gammaproteobacteria; Enterobacterales; Enterobacteriaceae
Also listed under: 2 other names
Description: tRNA-Phe
Rfam family: tRNA
About the family: Transfer RNA (tRNA) molecules are approximately 80 nucleotides in length. Their secondary structure includes four short double-helical elements and three loops (D, anti-codon, and T loops). Further hydrogen bonds mediate the characteristic L-shaped molecular structure. tRNAs have two regions of fundamental functional importance: the anti-codon, which is responsible for specific mRNA codon recognition, and the 3' end, to which the tRNAs corresponding amino acid is attached (by aminoacyl-tRNA synthetases). tRNAs cope with the degeneracy of the genetic code in two manners: having more than one tRNA (with a specific anti-codon) for a particular amino acid; and 'wobble' base-pairing, i.e. permitting non-standard base-pairing at the 3rd anti-codon position.
Source: RNAcentral